AUCCUUGGACUUCAGCCGCUGUCCUGUAACCAGAGAAUGCUCAGGAAUCUUGGCGCUGGGUAAACAAAAACAAAACAAAAAAGUACUGGAGCCAUCCUGCUCCCAAACUGAAUGUCUCCUCUCUACACACUUCUGUUAGGAUUCUUCCAGGCUCUGCACCAUGAAGAUGCCAGCAGCAGGUAUUUGGACACAGGGUCUCAAAAGGACAGGAUGAGGCUCAGACAUGCUCACGCCUCAUACAUCAAAACAGCUGAAGGGUUCCUGUUACACAGCUGGUUUGAAUUUGCCUGUGUUGAACUGCCUGCCUGAAUGUUUCAGCAUACUCUCAUUGUCACCUGAUUCACAUGUAACACCAAGCCAUACCAUGAACAAACGUGCUGGCUCCCAGGGAAAAGAUUGCACCUCCUGUCUUGCCACUACUGCACUGUUGUGAGGAUUUGACCUUCAGCUGAAGCUUAUCCACCAAGUCCUGUAGCCUUAUCACAUUCUUCCUGUCCUCUUCGCCCUAGAAAAGUGGCACCUGAUUAGGUGAUACGUGAGCACUAGUGUCUUGCUCUUUCUUCAGCUCCUCUGCCAUCAUGGCCGCCUUGACAUACAAACAGUAGACUCCAGUCAACAAGUACACUCGGCGCAAAGGGCAGAAGCUCAGCAGAGUUUGAAAGAUCAACUUGUGACCACCAGAAAUGGCCUGCUGGGACCACCUCAAUAACAAAGGUGACUGGUCAUCUGCUGCCCAGGGUGCCAGGUGCAAACAAAGGAAGGACCAGCCAAAUGCAAGAUGACAGCAAUAGGAAGGAGCGUGACACGAGGCAAAACAGCCCCAAAGCAGAAAAAGGCAGCUCAUGAACAGCCCGAGAUGGAUGUGAAGGGCAGCAGGAUUCGAAUGCCUUCAAGCACUCCAUUACACCGUAGCUGGUGCAGAACAAGCCUGUGAUCCAUUGCACCUGUGGAAGAGAAAACCUAAA
This is a long non-coding RNA of Podarcis raffonei (Aeolian wall lizard), 965 nucleotides long. RefSeq lists it as uncharacterized. The transcript is spliced from 7 exons. The record is from RefSeq and is a predicted model, not a curated record. Lineage: Eukaryota; Metazoa; Chordata; Lepidosauria; Squamata; Lacertidae.